This 240-nucleotide ribosomal RNA is filed under the name uncultured bacterium. Its description in RNAcentral is "partial 16S ribosomal RNA". The record is from RNAcentral.
CUGCUGCCUUCCGUAGGAGUCUGGGCCGUAUCUCAGUCCCAAUGUGGCCGGCCAACCUCUCAGUCCGGCUACCGAUCGUCGCCUUGGUGGGCCGUUACCUCACCAACCAGCUAAUCAGACGCGAGGCCAUCUUCCAGCGAUAAAUCUUUGACAUCAGUGCCAUGCGACACCAAUGCGUCAUGCGGUAUUAGCAGUCGUUUCCAACUGUUGUCCCCCUCUGGAAGGCAGGUUCCUCACGCG